Non-coding RNA from Microcebus murinus (gray mouse lemur), 7697 nucleotides. The record is from RefSeq and is a predicted model, not a curated record. NCBI's taxonomy places the organism in Eukaryota, Metazoa, Chordata, Mammalia, Primates, Cheirogaleidae.
AUUACCUAGAAGCCCAGUUGGGACUAAAAGGCCUGUGGACCGAUUCCCAGCCUAUCCUCCCCUCCUCAAUAUCUCAAAGUCUUGUGGGAGCCUUGUGUCCCCUGCAGAAUAAAGCUCGGGUGCUCCAUGCCCUGCCCCGCACAGCAGCCUAGAGGUAAGGCAACAGCUCUCAGCCCCCACGCACCAGCCGUGGCUUGCAUUUCUCCCUGCCUCUGCCUAGGACCCCUGGCACACUUUGUUUCAAUGCUCAGGCAUCACCUCCUCCAGGAAGCCCUCUCCAAAUCUGAGGUCGCAGGAACUGCUCCCUUCUCUGUGCUCUCAGUACCCAAUGCUCCAGUCCCUCCUCACGACAGACACGAGAGGCAGAUAUGCUCAGCUAUGCAGUUUAGAAGAGUGCUAGGCCCAAGCUCAGACUGGGAGAAUGAAAAACUUCUUGGAUGAGUCAACACCAUGGACUUCAAAAGUGACAGGAAGAAUCCAGUCUCUGGACCCAGAAGCCACGGACGCAUUUCCUCCAUCUGCAGCUGAUUGGGGAAGGGUCCAACAGUGUAUGUUUUCUGCUUUGGUUGCAUAUUAGAGGAUCCUGGGACGCCUCCACCCCACCCCCAAACCUUCUGUUUCAUUGGUGACUUGUUGCCCAUCCCCCAACCCGUGAACUGCCAUCCCCACCCAUCCCCCUGGCUGACCAUCUCCCACCUUCUGUCCCUUCAUCCACCCCCAUCCCGUUCCCCCACUGCUGCCCUGAGCUCUGAUGGGGGGGACAUAGGGACUAGACAAAGGGGUGUCGGGGUUGGUGGAAACAAGGGCCUCCCUGUGGCGCCACAGCACGAAGGGCAGCAUGAGGUUGCUGAGAAGAUGGAAGUGCCCCAGCAACGAGAUCUGGUCCUUGGAUACACAGAGACAGAGACAAAGGCAGUCCUGUGGGCAGGAAAGCUAGGGCUGGGAAGAAGAUCAGCACACAGACCUAGCAAGGGUCCCCAGGGGUGCAGGAGCAGUGAGAGGCCCACAGCCCAGCCCAGGCACAGCCAGGACUUCCAGGGAGCUGAUGCACCAGUCGCUGGAUUUAUUGAGCAAUUAGCUAUUUCCCAUUGAUAUGGGCUGAAAUGUAAAUGUGUCCCCCAGAAUUCUCAGGUUGAAGUCCUAAUCCCUAGAUCCCCGGAAUGGGUCUGCAUUUGGAGUUAGGGUCUUUAAAGAGGUAAUGAGGGUACAACCAGGUCAUUAGGGUGAACACUAUCCACUCUGACUGGUGUGAUAGCAGCCAGUAAGAGGAGCAGGCUGGGACAGACACACCGAGGGAAAACCUCGCGAGGCCAUCAGCAGAAGACGCAUCUGCAGGCCAAGGAGAGAGGCCUCAGGAGAAGCUACCCUUGAUCUCGGGCUUCGGCCUCCAGAACUGUGAGAAAAUAAAAGUCUGUAGUACAUUUUGUUACGGUAGCCUGAGCACCAAGCAGGGUCGGGCAUUCUCUCUCCAAGCGUGGGGAUCCUGAAAGGUGGUCCCUUUUAGGGACCCCGCUGGCAGACGAGGACACCAGGGCUCAGCAGCACUAGUGGCUCGUGCAAGGUCUCGGGUGCUAACAGCAGAGCUCUCAGCACACCAACAGGAGCUGGAUGGGCAGACAAGGUGAAGGGUAUUAAGGGUCACCAGUUCCCACCCAGGGGGUCCCCUGCCUGUGGUGCCCACCCACCAUCACCUCAACCCACACCCUGAUUGCCUCAAGGACCAGACCCUUCCCUUCCUGUGGCACCAGGCCUCUGAGAGGAGUGAGAUGCGCUCACAGGCCCAGCCUCCAGGCACAGGCACGUGGGGCAACCCCUGCCCCACAGACACUCCUGAGGGAGGUGACAAGGGAGCAGAAAGGUACAGGUGAAUGACCAGGAGGUAAGAUCUGCCCACUUGGACAGGCUGGAGGACAGUGACCUGCACCCUUAGCCCUGGCCCCGAGUAGUCCCCUGGUAAGGGUCAGGCAUGGACCCCACCCCCAUCAGAGCUGCAGGAAGAGAAUUUGCCAACUUUGCAGGGUCAGCAAGCAUAUUUAUGGCUGAAUAACAUUUUGAGAUAUUCAUGUAUGGACAUUUCUCUCCCUAUGUUUUCCUCUUCCCCUCCCCAUGCCCAGAGCGAGCAGCCGAUUGUCCCUCCGUGCACCACUCAGGGAAGGCAAACCACAGGCAGAAAGCACCAAAACCAGCCAGUCUUCCUGGAUCUUGUGUCCCAAAAGUCUAAGCUCCGAGGACAAUGGUCUUCAGGCCCAAUAACACACCAGGAUCGCCCCGAGAGCUGGUUAAGACACAGCUGGCAGGGUCCCCCGCUAGAGCCUCUGACUCCUAGGUCUGAGGUGGAACCUGGUCCCACCCAGGUGCUGCUUAUGCUAAUAGCCCAGGGCCCCUCUCUAAGAACCACUGCCCUACACAGUGCUGAAUAUUAGAGGCACCAGAGGAGCUCUCUAAACCUCCCACCUGGCCUUGCCAGGGAGAGUCUGAUCUGACUGGUCUGGGAUGGGCAUGAGCACUGGAAAGUUCUUACAGCUCCUGGCUGAUCCCAGUAGGCAGCCUCUGGGUGGUGGUUUUGCAACCUGGGCCCUGGCCUCUGCCUGCCUCUGCUACAUGCAUGCGGGCCAGCUCCCCCUCCCCAGCACUGCCCUGACACACCAUCUCUGCCCCUGUGCACUGCUGGGGCGCCCUGCCCAGAGGCUCCCCGCUCCUCAUGCAGGCCCCACUCCUGCCUCUGAGCUAGCCCCCAAGUCCCCUGCAUCCAGCCACUUCCCGCAGUGCUGUUCCCGCUCUUCCCCACCUGCAUCACGUGGGGGAGCACUGAGGCCUGCAGCCCCAGCCUGUGGGUCAAGGGCCAUUUCUCCUGCUUGUUUCUGGCUCAGCCACGGCGGGUGCACAUUGUUACUUGAGUGAGUCCUGAAGUAGUUAUCUUUCCACGCUGACCGUAUCCGGAGAGCAGUAUUCUGCCUCAGCACCACAUUUUGAGAAAGGCAGGACACAGCCUGCCGAAGAAAUACUAGUGGGAGAUGGGAGAGCUAUCUGCAAACUCCCGAAGGGCAGCAGGGUGACAAAAGUGACUUUUCGGCAUUGCUCCAGGGACCUGUCACCAAAGCCCCAGGUGGAGGCCAUGAGCAGGCAGGGUCCAGAUCCAGGCAGGAGCAUGUUGUUCCACAGCGCUUAGAGCACCCAGGAGAAGGUGCUGGGCAGAGCGCUGCUUCCGGCAGGGAUGCUAUAAAAGAAAUCCUGAGCCGCUGGGCAAGAAGCUGCUCUGGACCCUUUUAACCCAGAGAAUCUGCCUGUCCAUGGUGACAACACUCCCCAACAGCGCCCAGGAGCAGGCAGAGAGGCAGCAGACUGGGGCCACGUGGUCUCUGCAGAGCAAGCCCCACAGCGUGCAACUGUGCGGCAGCGCAGGGCUUGCUGGUAGAAGGCCCCACCCUUGGUUUACUGCUCCGCUGUCACGGUCCUGAAUGUUAAUACUUUUUCAACAGGGGCUUCACAUUUUCAUUUUGUGCCAGGGCCUACAAAUUCUCUAGUAGGUCCUACAUCUACCUCCUUAGCUAUUGUGAAAGGAUGCCCUUGUGCAUGUAGGUAACCUCUGGAGAUAACUCUCAGAGCUGCCGCAAGGUCUAAACGAGCAAAUGGAGGCAAAAGCUCUUCGGAAAGGUCAGUCAUCAUUAUAAAAGAUGCCCAGAUAUUUGCUGUUGAUGAUGUGUUUACGAUGAUGGAUUGAUAAGCGUCCCACUAAUAAUCUUGGUAACAGCUGCUGUUUAUCUAGUAUCACCUCCAUGAUAGGUACGCUAUAUUUUUAUUUACUCCUCACAACAACCUAGUGGGAGACAUAUGAUUAUUCCCAUUUUACAGACGAGGAAAGUGAGACUGAGAGACGCUAAGUAACUUGCCCCAAGUGCCACAGGUGGCAAGUAGCAGAGGCAGGAAUGGAACCUGACUCUGCUUGAACCCAAGUCUAGACACUUUCCUGGACUGAGUCUCUGCUUGGGUCCAAUUCUAUUAGGGAGGUUUCACCUCCAAGAAGUUUCCCUGGACCAAAGAAAUCCAGGGAAGUGAGGUCCUGACGCUGGGUUAAAGGCAAGCCCCACCCACAGUCCCAGCCCCUCAGCCAUCUCUCUGCCGCAGUCCAGUUAAUAACACUGAAAAUGGCACUAAUGGCUGACCCCACCAGCCAUCUCUCUUUCUCACUCUCAUCCUUGCAGACUCUAAUAGGUAUCCUACGGCUGCCGGCAGAGAGAAUCUCUGCUGCUUUGAACUAAUGUAGAAGUAUUCGAAAAGAUUCUUACUGGAAAUUCUGUAAUUCUUUUCCUUAUUUUCAGCGCAAAAGGAAGAAAACGUAUGACCUAAAUCUGCCAGACACCUUUGAAAAGAAGGAACCCCUGGGAGAAACAUAUGAGCAAUCCACACAGCCCAUUUAAUUAUUAUUAAAAUGCCAAAAUUGUUAAAUAGCUAGAAAAUACUUUGAAUAGGGAGUGGAGAUUAUAGUUCCUGUUGCAUUUGCCCCCAACACGUAUAGUAGUUUUACAACACAGGAAAAUAUGUCCAGAUGUCAACAUUUAUACAGGGCCCUCAGAUCACGUUGAGCAAGUGAGUGUCUCCUGCAGAGAUUCACUUUUAAAUCACAAUUUGUAUCAGCCCUGAAAGCAUCUUUUGGGAAUUGUAAGUUGUCUACAUCACAGCUACAAACACACCCAUCCUGCUAUAGAGAUCAUGGCAAAGGAAGCUUAAGGAGGAAUGUGGCUGUUUUGGUCCCUUUGUAAAUGCACCCCAGGGGUCCAGAGUUUGACUGGAUUUACCAGGUACUAACUGUGUUUAGCUGAACUGACUGUUCAAGCAAACAGCUAUGAGGACCAAAAUAAAAUGCUUUUUAAAGAAAGGACUUUCUGUUCACUUCAGGGACUCAUAGUAUAGGGUGAGGAGUCAACAGCCUGCCUCUCUGAGUUUUCUAUCUAUGUAUUUGUUCAGUACAGUUGUUAAAUCACUGUUCUUUGCACAAAAACAUGCCUAACACAUAGUCCCAGGAGUUUUCUAAAAAUAACUCCAUUCCAUUUAUUUAACAUUUAGCAACGCCCAAGUCCCCAGUACUGGGCCCCCCAGGAAGCCACCUCCUGCAGCCUGAGCAGCCGCUUCACUUGCAUCUGUAGUCUUCCUCUGGCUCCAUCUGCCCCUGCCCCGACCUUCCAGGCCCUGGUCACUGUGAGAACUGAUCUGUUGAUCCUAUGUGACCCUGUCCUAACUGGUCACAGGUGAUUGGACUUUAGGUGAACAACUGACCCAAGCUAAGCCAAUGACAACCCUUCUCCCAGCCAGUGUGGCCUGGGACGCAGGGAAAGUGGAUCUACAGAGCAGAGAGAGGAGAGGUAGACGGUCUUCCCGGUGUUGGAGUUCCAGAUUCUUGAGGCCAGGCUGGACCCAGCUGUACUCCCACCGGUUUCCAAAGCCUCCCCCUUGUCCAAGAAUAAAUCUUCCUUUGGCGCUUAGGCCAGCACACAUGGCUUUCAGUUACCACCUACCAAACUAGAGCUUGUUCUCUACUUGAUGGUGCAAAAAGUUUAAGAUAAAUUAAUCAGAGAACGCCAUAUCCAUUUAUUCCUAAGGGUAUAAUUAUCAGGUACAAUAACCAGACAGAGGAAAGGGGAUUGUGUGAUGCUACCCUUUUCUCCUUUUCAUGCAUUUAAACUGAAUUUGGUUAAUGGCAGAAAAAAACAUUAAAUAGAGUCAUCCCUCAGUAUCCAUGAGGGAUUAGUUCCAGGACACCCCCUUCUCCUCAGAUACCAAAAUCCACAGACGCUCAGGUCUCUGAUAUAAAAUGGCAUAAUAUCUGCAUAUAGCCCACACAUCCUCCCAUAUAUAGGUUUAAUCAUCUCCAGAUUACUUAAAAUACCAAAUAUGAUGUAAAUGAUAUGUAAGUGGUUGCAUUGCACUGUUUUUUAUUUGUAUUACUUUUUAUUGUUGUAUUGUUAUUUUUUAUUGUUUUCCCAAAUGUUUUCAAUCUGCGGUUGGUCAAAUUCACGGGUGUGAAGCCCACAGGUGCAGAAGGCGACUAUACUGAUUUCCCUUCCUCCAGCCACCAAGGCUCACAGCUGUACUUCUCAAAGUACGGUCCUUGGGCAGCAGUGUCAGCAUCACCCGAGAACUUGUUACAGAGGCAAAUUCCACCCUAGACCUACAGACUCAAAAUGGUGGGGGGUGGGGCGGGUAGGGCCCAGCCAGGUGUGUUCCAACAGCCCUCCUGGUGACUCCGAUGCACAGUAAAGUUUGGGAACUGCUGGUUCACCAGAUGCUAUCACUUUCAUUACUCCAGCAAACCCUCAAACCGACCUGGUGAACAAACUACUCAUGCCCACUUCACAUCAAAGGAAGUUGGAGCUCCAGAAUUGGACUUGCCUGAAGUCGGUGACUGGAAGAGGCCAAGGUGGGCCUCACUUGGAGGCUGUCGGGCCUCAGGCUGUGCUUGUUUCUACUCCUCCCACCCCCAUGCCCCACUCCCGGGUGGCUCAGUCACCUUGGGUCCAGCUCAGGCUUACAGCAGUUUUGUUUUGUCGGCACCAAACCCCGGCUGAUCCCUUCCACCAUGUCCCUGUCGUUCAGGCCCACUGAGUCAUGCUAAGGCUCCGCCCAGGCCUCCAGAGGCCAGCCUUGAAGGACAGAGACUAUCUUCUUCACCUUUGAGACUUCCCCUGCCUGCAACAGUCCCAGCACUUCAUGGUUUCUAGGGAGCUCCUUCCAACUCUAGCUCAAGUGUGGUCUGACAAUUAGCAUCCCUCUGACACCCAGACAUCCUGCAGGUUGGAAGUCCAGCCCAGCAAGUUUUACCUACUUAGCAUGACAUUUUGGUAGCAGUCCCCUUCCAAUAAACAAGUUCACACUUAAGCAGUUAUUUAUUUCUAGGUGUGAAUGAGGGCUUGAGAGUUAGUAGGAAGCCUGUGUGUUAAUAAAGCCCACCACUUGGUUUACUGUGAUGUCCAGAAAGGGGCUGAGAGAGGAACAAGGAAGUGUGUGCUCCUUCCCCAGAGCCCAGCCUUGCCUUGGCUGGUACUCACUAAAACCCAGGGAGGACAGAAGCAGGGACAGAAGGAUGCUGAGAACUGGGAGAGUGGGAAAAGACUAAACUUCAAGGUCGGGACGGAGACAAUCUCCAGCUCCUUUUCCACGUCACCAGCACCACCCCGCAGGGUCCUGCUGGCAGCUGUGUUUCUGUUGCUCCCUGACUGCCUGCUUCUGGCCACCACCCUUCCACCAGCCGGGAUGUCCACCUGGAAGGACGUGAGCCCAGGAGCCUGAGCAGAACAGGGCCAGGUGUCUUGGGGGAGCAAGGAUGACAAAUACGGCAUCUGCAGAGUUUCUCCCAGAGACUCCCGGGCUGCUGCCUCCCUGCAUGCGAUUCAGAUGCAGACUUACAACUAAGGUAGUAUGGGAUCACAGGGGGCCACGUGUGAGGCACUGCUUCAGUCUGACAUGACCCAGUCCUGGCCACAUCCAUCUUAAGGCUCACUGUCUCCACUGAACUUCUCACUGAUAGGUCCAAAAGGAAUUUAAACCUCCAAGCCUCUCCCAGUAAUCUGUAGCUGGGAGAGACAGCCACCAUUUGAUGUGCAGAGGUUUCUUCUGCCUCCCACAGAGGGACCCAAGGGCUUGGCCUCCUCAGAACAGGAAAUGUCAGCUGAGGUUCCUGUCUCUACCAGUGGUUUAAAGGU